UUAAAAGAGCCCAUUUUCCAGGUUCCAGACUGUUGGAAAUAUAUGCUGAUUCCUGGGAGUAGGGGCAGGAAUUAUUACAUGAAAAAGUCCCAGUCAUUGGAAGAAUCCCAUAACCUCCCUGAUGAGCGAUGGCUACCCUUCACUUGAGGUCUGGUAGGGAAGGGUAGCUGUCCUGGCCCCUUUUACAUAGGUUCCUCAUGCCUCAUCCUGACCAUAACCCUGUGUGUGUGUCUCUGUUACACACACCCCACCCACACCACUGUGAGCUCCUGAAUGGCAGGGAGAGGAACUUCCUUAUAUCUCUGUCCCCUCAGUGCCCAGCUGGAUGCCUGGCUCAGAGCAGAGACUUGAUAAGUGUUGGUUGAUUGAAUAAGUGCCAUCUCACCAAGCCCAGAAUAUACCUUGUCUUAAUCUCUAUCUUCAGGGCCAAGUUCAAUGCCUGGCACUUAACUUGGUGCUCAAUAAUGUUAGGAAAAAAUGAGCUCAUAAUCACCAUCCUUUAAUUAUGAUUGUUAUGUUUUUACUUUUAGCUAAAUGCUAUUUCCACCUCCCCUCCCCUCCCCAUGACUUCUGUUUUAUCUGUUCACUCACUAAAGCAUAGUAUCCUGAAUGCCUAUUAUGGCCCCAAGCCCUGACGUAGGUACUUGGUGUAUACAGGUGAGUGAAAGAGGCAAAGUCCUUGCCCUACUGGAAUUUACAGUCAAGUAGUAGAACAGUGUUUGGCACAAAGUGUUAGCUGCUCUUAUUAUUACUUCUGUCAUCUUAUUUUUUCCCCUGUAAAUGUGAGACUUCUCAGUUUACCAGAUGUCUCUUUUUCUGUGUCCUACCUCUAUUGCACUAUAGUACUUUUUUUUUUUUUUUUAAGUUUUCUGUAGGUACUUUUCUUCCUUAGAAGCCCAAGUUCUGAUUUUUCUUUCUUUCAGCUCACAUGUACAGGUCUCUUGCUCUGAGCCUAGGGGCUAUGCUGGGCACGUGCUGUAGGACCCAGUGCCUGCCCUCGGAUCACAGCCACAAAACCACACUUUCGUUUACUCACCACCGUCCUUUCUCUUUCUCUCUCUGUCUUUUCCAGGGACACAGACUUCAUCUGGACGGGUUGUCUGCUUUGCUGAGGCUUUCAGUUUGCUGCUCCAGAGUUCCUGGAGGCAACCCGAUUUCUCCUGGGAUGGUCACUGAAGUCAAAUUUAAGUGGAUGGCAUCCUUUUUUUUUUCCUGUCUCCAUGGUUUGCUGCUGGUUGUGAGCUGCGUGUAGAAUUUCUGGCUAAGGCACCUGCAAUCACAGAACCAAAGAUUUUCUGGGAGGAGCUGCCUCCUUUGUUUACAGGUGAAGAAACGGAGGCCCAUGAAAGUGAAGGGACUCGCCUAUACGAACGGCUUGUUAUUAAGAGUUCCUGCAUACAUGAAAGGAUGAAUACGUCUGCAAAGAACAUCUUCCAAACCAUGUCAAUGUGGAAAUUCCAUGAAUAAUUCAAGCUGGUCUUGACAGCAUAGAGCCCGAGUCUGGGCAAGAUUGCUGUUGCUGCUGCAACAGUCGUGUCCGACUCUGUGCAACCCCAUAGAUGGCAGCCCACCAGGCUCNNNNNNNNNNNNNNNNNNNNNNNNNNNNNNNNNNNNNNNNNNNNNNNNNNNNNNNNNNNNNNNNNNNNNNNNNNNNNNNNNNNNNNNNNNNNNNNNNNNCCACCAGGCUCCCCCAUCCCUGGGAUUCUCCAGGCAAGAACACUGGAAAGAUUAGGCUGAACCUAAAAGAAAUCAGGUUAGAGGCAAAGAAGAAUUUUUGUGUAUCCUGAAGUUAUAACCCUUAGCAUUUGUUUUUUAGCUUCUUCAGGCUGCUUCCUGCCAGCAGACACUUCAUUGGAAGGGAGGCUGGCAAAGCUCGUCCCUUCUGCCUCUUUGUGGAAACUUUUUUAUUCCUCUAUAAAGCUAGAUUUUAGAAGAGAGUGGAGGGUUUAUCUAUGAAUUCAGAAUUAGCAUAGAAAGAAUCAGAAAAUUAGAGUUGAGUGGGAACUCAAAGAUCUGGGCUGCUCAGCUUAUUUUAUAGACAAUUGCAAAAGUCACAAGGUUGCUUGGUCACAGAUCUGGGACUCAAGUCUGGAUUUCUAUCUGUGUCCAAGUUUUACUCACAACGGUACUUUGCUAAUGAAGAGACCAAGAGUACAAGGUGUGCCUUAACUCCCUGUCUUCCUUCCCGCCCUCUCUGGUACCUUUACACAUUGCCUGGAGGUACCAAGCCAGGGUAUGAGGAAGCAGAAGCUCUGAGCUUGAUCUUGGCUGGGAUGAAAGAUCUAGGGAAGGGGAUCUGCCCAUAUGGAGAAAGCACCUGCCUCCCCAGUGUGAUUUUGAACUCAAGAUUUCAGAGAACGCAGCAACGCAACUAUGAUGUAGCUGGUCCAUCGUGGUAACUGUCUGGGUAUUUGCAGAAUGAAUGUGUGUACUGGCAAGGGGAUGAGGACGGGGUGAUGAGGUUAGAUGAAUAAAAGCAAGCUAGCUGUUGCCAACCGCCAGUUUUUUUGCUUGGAAGGUAGAGGCAACCAUGAGAAGCCUUUCACAGGGGACUUCAUCUCUUUAUCUGCCUAGGGAGAAAGAUGUGGUCGUUAAUGUAGAAGCGUCACAAAUUGUUAGUGCUGGAAAAUACAGUCCAGUGGCUUGUUCAGAAAGAAGAGGCAAGUGGCUAGUGGCCUCCACCAUAGCUCCUGAACUGAGAAACCUUCCCAUGCUGCUGGCAGCAAUAGCACGCCCUGCUCUCGGAGCU
RNAcentral lists this long non-coding RNA (2749 nucleotides) under Capra hircus (goat). RNAcentral describes it as "lncRNA (ENSCHIG00010026375.1)". Lineage: Eukaryota; Metazoa; Chordata; Mammalia; Artiodactyla; Bovidae. The record is from RNAcentral.